This 743-nucleotide long non-coding RNA is filed under the name Spirodela polyrhiza (greater duckweed). Its description in RNAcentral is "long non-coding RNA (SPOL_LNC000570)". The record is from RNAcentral. Lineage: Eukaryota; Viridiplantae; Streptophyta; Magnoliopsida; Alismatales; Araceae.
GAUGUGGAGAUUGGACGGCGACAAAGAGGCUCCCCCUGCGAGCAAUUUGCCGGACCUGAACUCCGUCGCCGACAAGGAUUCCGGCGAGGAGUUCCCUCCUCAACAGCCGCCGGAGAACUACCACCAUCACCAUCACCACCACCAUCAUCAGCAGAAGCAGCACCAGGAGCAUCACCAGCAGGGGCAGAGGAGGGGCUCCCCGGAGGAGCAGAGGGCGGCGAGGAGGAAGCGGAUCGAGAUGAUCCACACGAGGAGGAGGAUUGCCGCCAUGAGAUGACACCUCCUCAAGGAUCCCCCCUCCUCCUCCCUGAUUACUCUCACACAUACUACCUCUGCUGCUACCACACUAGUUAGGGUUUUUGGCUGUAACAUACCUUCCUCCUCCUCGCCGGCGACGGAGACGAACAAGCUAGGAGAAUCCGGUGGCCAAUCCUCACCCGCCGGCGGGAGGAAGGACUCCUACGCUUGAGAUUGCUUGCUCACUCGGCUCCUUGUUCUUCUUCUUCUUCAAUAUUUAUUCUAUCAAUAAAAGGUUUAUUAUUAUUUUUACGACGGAAUGGGCCAGGAAAAAUGGUCCAGAUGGAUUUAGUUACCAAUCAGCCCGUUAAGCAGAGUUCCUCAUCAGCCAAAAUCCAGCCUCACCGGACCCGGGCCUGAGCCCGUCGACCAUUGUACGGCCCGCGGGCCGAAGCUGAGCCUCAUAUGCUUAUUUUUCAGAGGGGGGGGGAGGGGGAUGGAUUAUU